RNAcentral lists this ribosomal RNA (117 nucleotides) under Chinchilla lanigera (long-tailed chinchilla). Lineage: Eukaryota; Metazoa; Chordata; Mammalia; Rodentia; Chinchillidae. The record is from RNAcentral.
GUCUACAGCCAUACCACCCUGAAUGUGCCUGAUCUUGUCUGAUCUCAAAAGUUAAGCAGGGUUGGGCCUGGUUAGUACUUGCAAGGGAGACAAAUACUAAAAUAGUAGCAUUUACCC